UUGUUGUGCCAUCACCCAGCUUGCCUCUUUGAGCACUUCAGUUGGAGUCUGCAUCUAUUUUUCUAUCAGGCAGAAAUUGUGAGAACAACUGACUGAUCAAGAACCAUCUCAAAGGGAAAGAGAAGGCAAAGGAGAGGGAAAAGCAAUCUGCACUGGCAGGUGGACUGCACAAUGAGAUCCCCUUGGUGCAGCCAGGGAAACAGAGUCACACCUGGUCUGGCAUCACUGCAGUUACCACCCUGGAAACAUCAGUGCCUCAGAGAUGAGACAUAGUUUCACAUCACAGCUCAUUCAAAUCACACUCCAUCA
Molecule: long non-coding RNA, 309 nt
Filed under: Crocodylus porosus (Australian saltwater crocodile)
Lineage: Eukaryota; Metazoa; Chordata; Crocodylia; Crocodylidae
Description: lncRNA (ENSCPRG00005012629.1)
Source: RNAcentral